AAGAGACUUGUGGUCUCCUUAAGAUCCUCUUGGAGAAGAAACAAUGGAAUCAUUGCAUCGUUCUUUGAUUCACAAUCGGCUUCUCAAAACAGUUAGAGUUACGACUCUCUCAAGAAUUUUUUUAGACACAUCUCAAGAAAAUUUGUUUUAUCAAUUCGUGAACAUAUUCUUCGUUAUUCUUGGGAAAGAACUGAUAGUUUCAUGUCAAUAAUGGAAUAUUUUUUGCCCCCUUUUACCCCUUUUCAGCUUAAAGUGUAGGAAUAUUAUGGUCUCUCCCUUAUCGCUUCCAAACAAAUUGCAUCGACAAGAAUUCUUAUAUUUUUUGUUGGCAGUGUAUGGCGGUGCUUUUUGUUAUGAGAUCAAGCACAUGCUAGAGCCUUCUAGCUCAGAUGAGCUCUCUUGUGCCGAUUACUUCUAUAUCCACGGAGUCAACAUGAAGAACGAUUCUGGCCUUGAAGGUCUCAUGAAGAUGGUAGAUCUUG
This 482-nucleotide long non-coding RNA is filed under the name Olea europaea subsp. europaea. The record is from RNAcentral. Lineage: Eukaryota; Viridiplantae; Streptophyta; Magnoliopsida; Lamiales; Oleaceae.